Molecule: long non-coding RNA, 2259 nt
Organism: Gossypium arboreum
Lineage: Eukaryota; Viridiplantae; Streptophyta; Magnoliopsida; Malvales; Malvaceae
Exons: 3
Source: RefSeq, a predicted model, not a curated record
AUUGCAUUUUGUCCUUUCUACUCAAAAAAUAGGCAAAUUAGUCCCUAUACAUUAGAUCAAAGAGCAAACUGGUCUUCCAAUUAAAAAUUUUAUCUAUUUUUACUAUUAAAAGCUGGUCAUUGUACAUUAACAUGAGGUACACGUGGCACAUCACGUGUACUAUUUGGUUAUUCCGUCAGCCACAUAUGUUUUUAACAAUACAAAUAGAUGAAAUUUUUAAUAGAAAUGACUGAUUUGCUCUAUGAUUUAAUGUAUAGUGACUAAUUUGCUUAUUUUUUAAUAGAGGGGGAAAAAUGCGGUUUGACUCUUAAUACCGAGACCUUCAUGGUACUUUUACCAAGAUGUAAACAAUAAGAGCCUUACCCUUGAGUCUCGUGCAAAGCCGUUGAAGUUCUUGUUGCCAUUCCAUAACAUCUCUCUAAAUAUUACAUUGUCCCAAAACACUGCCUUAUACCGAUUUAGCAAACACACAAACAACAAAUAGAUGAUCCUUUGUUUCAUGGUUUCCUUGGCAUAGUAGACAAUGACCCUCUAUGCUCAUCUCUCUUUAAUAAGCCUGUCAUUUGUGGAAAAUUUAUUCACAAUAGCCAUCAAAGCUAGAAAAUAGAUUGUUCUGGUAUAAGAAGUAGAUACCAAACAACCUUAUGCCACAUAACUUUUUCUACACUCUUUUCGAAUUUCAUUUUAAAAUGCAGUAACAGUUAACUAGUUGUCCCUUACUCCCAAACUAGAUAACAUGGGUGCAACUUCUCGGCCAAUGUCUCUAGAGCAUUCUUGGCUACCAAAGGAUGCAGGGGACGUGAAACCAGUUGGAUUGAUUGAUGUUAUGAGUGGGAUUGAGAAGAUGAAUUAUCGGAUUCCACUAUCAGUUUGGUUUUUCCUUUUCCGAAUCUUAUUAAGAUUUUUCAACAUUGUACUCGGGCACAUAUGUAUGGUUGAUAUGUAGGCUUGGACCCUUUGGAACUGAAGUCGCUAGGGUGCUUAGCAGUGGCCUUGUUCCUGGUUUAUUGGUUUUGAUUGGUGGUGAUCCUGGCGUCGGAAAGAGUACCCUACUGUUGCAGGUAGAAGUUUGCAGCAUUUAAGAGCCAACGUUCGUGCUUUUUUCUGUUAUCUUGUUCUGGAAAUUUUUCUUUUUGAAAAAGGAAACUCUUCUGUCGUCAACUCAUAUGAUCUGCUCAUACGUUUGUUGGAAAUGGCCGUCUUAUUAUAAUAUUGAGUUCACGUCUUACUUGAAGGAUGGCGGCACUAAUUGCUGACGGGCAUGACUCAGAUCGACAUGCUUCUGUUGUAUGUGUCUCUGAUGAAGAGUUUAGUUUCUCUGAUGUGUCAUAUUGGUCUGUCAGCAGCAUCAUGCUUUACAAGCUUAAUAGGUUAUAAUUUGCACAUACUGAAAAGUCAGAAACCUGAGUAGUUAGUACUAAUAAUAAUAGUGCCUCUUUUACCAUGAAUACGCAGCACUAAUUUGAGUUAAAUCAAUUUCUGGCUUCAACGUGGUACAGUGUUGAACAAAUUAGUAGCAGAACCAAAUGCAUGAAGAUUUGAGCAAACAGACUAUAUCUAUACACUGGUACUGAUAUCAAGGCUAUGAUUCUUUGACAAGCAAGCUGGCAUAAAGAUCCAAGCCAAAGUAAGAGUUACUAUUUACUGUUUCUUCUCUCUGGUUCAGUGUCUGCCUCUUCUGUCUCAAAGGUGGGGGCUACUAUCCCUUCAUCCUUAGCAUGUGGUUCUUUUAGUGUUCUUUUUUUUUUUUUUCUUCUUGUUGUUGUUGGCCAAAAACACUUUCGUUCAUUUCAUAACAGAAAACAACAGUCGACAAAAUCAACCGCAACCAAGAUGUCCAAGCAUUAGACAGAAACGAGAAUAAGAGCUGCGAAACUGGGAUUAUAUAGAAAGAUGCUAAAAUUUGUUGUAUUGCUUUAUUAGGUACGGAGGAUGGACAAAAGAGUCAGUACAGCUGCGAAACUAGGAUAUAAGGACUGUAUUGUGCCAAUGUCAGCUGGGCAACUCUUGAUUUCGGGGAACUGGUGAUUAUUGGCUGCAAUCAUCAAUAAUUAGUGAAAAACACAGGAACAUCAUUGGUCUGAAAAAAACAUGCAUCAUAUCAUCAUCAUCUGUAUGUUCAAUUGUGAAGUUUUUGUUGUAUAUGGUCCUUCAAGAACAGAAAGGAUGAAGGCCCUUUUUCUUUAUCUAACUGUGGAUUGUGUAGUAUACAUAAAAUGGCUCUUGUUAUGUUUCCCAUCAGCUAUAUCUUUGUUUGAA